Myotis brandtii (Brandt's bat) is the source of this 74-nucleotide non-coding RNA. The record is from Rfam. NCBI's taxonomy places the organism in Eukaryota, Metazoa, Chordata, Mammalia, Chiroptera, Vespertilionidae.
GGUGGUUCUUGGGUGAUGCAUCCCAGAAUCCGGCUCUCUCCUCUCUGGAUUCAGUGCAUCACCCAAGAACCGCA